AUUGAACGCUGGCGGCAGGCUUAACACAUGCAAGUCGAGCGGAAACGAUGUAGCUUGCUACAGGCGUCGAGCGGCGGACGGGUGAGUAAUGCAUGAGAAUCUGCCUAGUAGUGGGGGAUAGCCCGGGGAAACUCGGAUUAAUACCGCAUACGCUCUUCGGAGGAAAGCAGGGGAUCUUCGGACCUUGCGCUAUUAGAUGAGCUCAUGUCAGAUUAGCUAGUUGGUGAGGUAAAGGCUCACCAAGGCGACGAUCUGUAGCUGGUCUGAGAGGAUGAUCAGCCACACUGGGACUGAGACACGGCCAGACUCCUACGGGAGGCAGCAGUGGGAAUAUUGCACAAUGGGCGCAAGCCUGAUGCAGCCAU
RNAcentral lists this ribosomal RNA (365 nucleotides) under uncultured Gammaproteobacteria bacterium. RNAcentral describes it as "bacterial SSU rRNA". It matches the Rfam family "Bacterial small subunit ribosomal RNA", at positions 30 to 395 of the family's 1533-position model. Lineage: Bacteria; Pseudomonadati; Pseudomonadota; Gammaproteobacteria. The record is from RNAcentral.